RNAcentral lists this ribosomal RNA (422 nucleotides) under uncultured Acetivibrio sp. RNAcentral describes it as "bacterial SSU rRNA". It matches the Rfam family "Bacterial small subunit ribosomal RNA", at positions 355 to 793 of the family's 1533-position model. Lineage: Bacteria; Bacillati; Bacillota; Clostridia; Acetivibrionales; Acetivibrionaceae. The record is from RNAcentral.
UCGGGAAUAUUGCGCAAUGGAGGAAGCUCUGACGCAGUGACGCCGCGUAUAGGAAGAAGGUUUUCGGAUUGUAAACUAUUGUCGUUAGGGAAGAUAAAAGACAGUACCUAAGGAGGAAGCUCCGGCUAACUACGCGCCAGCAGCCGCGGUAAUACGUAGGGAGCAAGCGUUAUCCGGAUUUAUUGGGUUUAAAGGGAGCGCAGGCGGACCCUUAAGUCAGUUGUGAAAUACGGCGGCUCAACCGUCGGACUGCAGUUGAUACUGGGGGUCUUGAGUUCACACAGGGAUGCCGGAAUUCAUGGUGUAGCGGUGAAAUGCUCAGGUAUCAUGAAGAACCCCGAUCGCGAAGGCAGGCAUCCGGGGUGUUACUGACGCUGAGGCUCGAAAGUGCGGGUAUCAAACAGGAUUAGAUACCCUGGUAU